ACCUCAAGUCAUGUGAGAGUACCCGCUGAACUUAAGCAUAUCAAUAAGCGGAGGAAAAGAAACUAACAAGGAUUCCCCUAGUAACGGUGAGUGAAGCGGGAAGAGCACAAAUUUUAAAUCUACCUUGGUUUUCCAGGUCGAGUUGUAAUUUGAAGAAACGUUUUUUACGUUCCGGGUUGGAUUAAAUCCUUUGGGAUAAGGUAUCAUGGAGGGUGAGAAUCCCGUGUAUACCAACCACUGGAAUGUUAUUAAUACGAUUUCUAAGAGUCGAGUUGUUUGGGAAUGCAGCUCUAAAUGGGUGGUAAAUUUCACCUAAUGCUAAAUAUAAGCGAGAGACCGAUAGUGAACAAGUACCGUGAGGGAAAGAUGAAAAGAACUUUGAAAAGAGAGUUAAAUAGUACGUGAAAUUGUUGAAAGGGAAACGGUUGAAGUCAGUCAUGCCGGUGGGAAUCAACUUAGGGGAAACUCUAGGUGCACUUCUUCGCUUGGCAGGUUAGCGUCGAUUUUGGAUGUCAUAAAAUGACUGGGGGAAGGUAGCUCCUUCGGGAGUGUUAAGCCCUUGGUAGAUGUGAUGUUCGGGAUCGAGGAUUGCAACGGAUACCCUUUGGGCUAGCCGCCUGGUCUCUAAUACGAAGUUGGGUUAUGGAUAGCAUGCUAACCAUGAUCUGAUUUUCGGUUAAAAGAUUAGAGUGAGUGUAAAUUCGUUAAGGACGCUGACGUAAUGGCUUUAAACGACCCGUCUUGAAACACGGACCAAGGAGUCUAACAUGUAUGSGAGUGUU
RNAcentral lists this ribosomal RNA (782 nucleotides) under Cetraspora gilmorei. RNAcentral describes it as "eukaryotic LSU rRNA". It matches the Rfam family "Eukaryotic large subunit ribosomal RNA", at positions 1 to 694 of the family's 3401-position model. The record is from RNAcentral. Lineage: Eukaryota; Fungi; Glomeromycota; Glomeromycetes; Diversisporales; Gigasporaceae.